RNAcentral lists this ribosomal RNA (506 nucleotides) under uncultured bacterium. RNAcentral describes it as "bacterial SSU rRNA". It matches the Rfam family "Bacterial small subunit ribosomal RNA", at positions 107 to 607 of the family's 1533-position model. The record is from RNAcentral.
UGAGUAAUGUCUGGGAAACUGCCUGAUGGAGGGGGAUAACUACUGGAAACGGUAGCUAAUACCGCAUAACGUCGCAAGACCAAAGAGGGGGACCUUCGGGCCUCUUGCCAUCAGAUGUGCCCAGAUGGGAUUAGCUAGUAGGUGGGGUAAUGGCUCACCUAGGCGACGAUCCCUAGCUGGUCUGAGAGGAUGACCAGCCACACUGGAACUGAGACACGGUCCAGACUCCUACCGGGAGGCAGCAGUGGGGAAUAUUGCACAAUGGGCGCAAGCCUGAUGCAGCCAUGCCGCGUGUGUGAAGAAGGCCUUCGGGUUGUAAAGCACUUUCAGCGAGGAGGAAGGUGGUGAACUUAAUACGUUCAUCCAUUUUACGUUACUCGCAGAAGAAGCACCGGCUAACUCCGUGCCAGCAGCCGCGGUAAUACGGAGGGUGCAAGCGUUAAUCGGAAUUACUGGGCGUAAAGCGCACGCAGGCGGUUUGUUAAGUCAGAUGUGAAAUCCCCGGG